UUACAUAAAACAUAUCUUUAUAGAGAAAAAUCACAAUGUCUUUUUCCAAAUUUGCUAUCUUUGUUGUCGUCCUUGUUUCUCUAGCUAGCCUUCAUGAAUGUAUGUUAUAUGUUUUGUUUUAUUUUUUUAUUGUUUAUCAUCAUUACCACCUUUAUACUCACAAUUAAAUACUCCAUAAUCUUUUCUAAUGAUUUUUUUUUUAAAUAUAUAUAGGUAAUUUCUUUAAAGACCUUACCAAACCACCUAUAAAAGAUCCAUGCUAUCCAGCAAAACUUGGGGGAUAUUGCUGCCGAGAUCUUGUUAAGGAUGUGUAUCCCUGCUACGACACCUUAGCACAAUGUAGGAAAGAUGUUAACAUAAAUAAUUGCAAUCCUUAUGCAAAGAAGAACUAAGUAUUUAUAUGUACCAAAUAAUUUCAUGCAUUUACUCAUAACUCAAGUUGUAAAAUUUAAUCUGAAUUCACCAUAUACAAUUAUGUAAUGCUAACUAAUAAAAAUUAUUUGACUUUUUUUU
This 513-nucleotide long non-coding RNA is filed under the name Capsella rubella. RNAcentral's name for it is "long non-coding RNA (CRUB_LNC003882)". The record is from RNAcentral. Lineage: Eukaryota; Viridiplantae; Streptophyta; Magnoliopsida; Brassicales; Brassicaceae.